AUUGAACGCUGGCGGCAUGCUUUACACAUGCAAGUCGAACGGUAACAGGCCGCAAGGUGCUGACGAGUGGCGAACGGGUGAGUAAUGCAUCGGAACGUGCCCAGUCGUGGGGGAUAACGCAGCGAAAGCUGUGCUAAUACCGCAUACGAUCUAUGGAUGAAAGCGGGGGACCGUAAGGCCUCGCGCGAUUGGAGCGGCCGAUGUCAGAUUAGGUAGUUGGUGGGGUAAAGGCCCACCAAGCCAACGAUCUGUAGCUGGUCUGAGAGGACGACCAGCCACACUGGGACUGAGACACGGCCCAGACUCCUACGGGAGGCAGCAGUGGGGAAUUUUGGACAAUGGGCGCAAGCCUGAUCCAGCAAUGCCGCGUGCAGGAAGAAGGCCUUCGGGUUGUAAACUGCUUUUGUACGGAACGAAACGGUCUGGGUUAAUACCUCGGGCUAAUGACGGUACCGUAAGAAUAAGCACCGGCUAACUACGUGCCAGCAGCCGCCGUAA
RNAcentral lists this ribosomal RNA (498 nucleotides) under uncultured bacterium. RNAcentral describes it as "partial 16S ribosomal RNA". It matches the Rfam family "Bacterial small subunit ribosomal RNA", at positions 30 to 523 of the family's 1533-position model. The record is from RNAcentral.